Long non-coding RNA from Dermochelys coriacea (leatherback sea turtle), 1323 nucleotides. RefSeq lists it as uncharacterized. Lineage: Eukaryota; Metazoa; Chordata; Testudines; Dermochelyidae. The transcript is spliced from 3 exons. The record is from RefSeq and is a predicted model, not a curated record.
UUCAGUUGUUAGGUACAGCAUGCAGGUGCUGGUGUUGUUCGCCUGUGGCACGCAGAAGGUCAGACUACAUGAUCUUCUGGCCUUCAAUUCUAUGAUUCCAUGCUUCUGAGCACAGACGAGAGAGAUGGCGGGGGCCUGAAAGAAGAGAUGAAAGCCCUCAUGCCACGAAUGUGACUGCCCUUUAGCUGGAACAGGAGAGGCCCGAGUUUUUGCUGCAGAAAUUCACUCUGUUCGUGGGCUUGGAUGGACUUCUGCACAGGUGACCUGCUAGAACACUCUGCACUCUGAGAAGAUGAGAUGCCCUGAGGGCGAUGUCGUUCCAGAUGCAGAAGUGCCAGAGGAUAAUGGGCUGAUUAAGACCCACCUGUGCAAACAGGUACUGGCUCUGAUGGACGCUGUUUGUCACUUGAUGCGACCACAAAUCAACCAAACGUCCAGAGAUGGGAAUAUCUGAGUCAUCUGAGAUGUGCUGCUACCUCUACCAUGCACUUUGUAAGACUUCUUGGGACUGAUGAGAGGUAAUGGUGGUCCCACUAAAAACCUUAAGUACUUUCUGUGGCUUGGGUGGAUAACCGCAUCAAAAUAGGAAUCCUGUUGGUCAAUGUACCAAUCGUUGGGAUUUAAGGAUGGGGAAACGGAGGCAGGGGACACCAUCCUGAAUUUUUGCUUAUUGGUGAAGAUGUUCAAUUUCCUUAAGUCUAGGAACCCCCUCUCAUUUGGGGUGAAAAUAUCAGGAGUAGAACUGACUUCCUUAUGGUAUAAAGGGCCCCCCCUCCAAGAGCUAGAAGAAACUGCUGCUCCUGACGCAGUACAAUUUUGUGAGUAGGUCCCUGAAUAGGGAAAGGGGAGGAUGCUGGGGGUGGGGCAAGAACUGGAAUUGGAUGGUGUAUCCCAGUCCCAUAGUCUCUAGAACCCACUGAUUAGUGGUUAUGAAGUUUCAGGCGGCAGAGAAGUGGUACAACAGGUUUCCAAAGUGAGGGGAUGGGUUGGGAAGAUCCAGAAUAACUGGCGCGCUGCAGCCAGAUUGGCUGCCUUAAGACUGAUGGGUCGAACAUAUUCAUGCCAAAGCAGAAGGCUUCCUUCGUGGAAAUUUGUGCCACUUUCUGGAGGAGUCAGCUGGAAUGGAGGGCUAACUAUGGAGCUGUUGAGGCUUACAUUGCCUCCUCUUGGGGGCUAGCUACUCACAUACGUAGCCAGGGUCCCGGGCGGGGUUGUACAGCCCAUACUGCUGCCCAGCUUGUUGUGGCUUUACUCCUGCUGUUCUUCCACUAAUUAGAUCAAUGCUCUAUCUGCUGCCCUCCCACCUCUGAUUGCAGUGGAGAC